CUAGGCUUGCGAGCCUUGGCUGUAGCUGAAGGGGAGCCUGAAGACAAGCCAGUAAGCAACAUUCUUGCAUCAUCUCCUCUCCUGCCCUGGCUUUGCCCAGUGGUGCACUGGAACCUAUCUAUUGCCCUUGCAGAGGUCAGUUUUGUUCUGUGAAAGCCUGUCCUGAAAACAGGAUGAUGCCUCCCUGAUACCAUGAUAGAGCAAAGAAAGCACACCAUCGGACAGUCAAAAAGGCGACCGGCGUCCCAACGGAUUUAGCAACAGAACUGUGGAGGUGGCUGUGCUCUGCCCCGCCAUCCUAAGGAAAUGCCUGUCUGAGGACUUUGGGACACGUCAUCCCUGAGAAUGCAGAGUGCGCUGCUGCUUUUCUUAAGCUGCUCUCAGAGUCUGCACCUAAAAUGCCCAGUGACUGGCUGCAUGGAAAUCUUUAAGCUAAAAGCUGCACACUGACUACAGGCUGCUGUGCCCCAGGGAGAAAUAAACGAGGAGACCCUUCAUGAGAGGCUAUCUUCCUGAGGCUAAAGUUCUAAGACGCACAUCAAAAAUUUAUAUGCGUGCUGGAAAGAGACCCAGUGAGUGAGAGAUUCGGAAAAUGUGUUAGAGUUAUCAGACACAUUUGCACGAGAGGUUGGAUAUUUGAGUAAAGAUCACAGAACUUAACCU
This 663-nucleotide long non-coding RNA is filed under the name Rattus norvegicus (Norway rat). RNAcentral's name for it is "long non-coding RNA NONRATT025842". Lineage: Eukaryota; Metazoa; Chordata; Mammalia; Rodentia; Muridae. The record is from RNAcentral.